AGGGAAUCUUCCACAAUGGACGCAAGUCUGAUGGAGCAACGCCGCGUGAGUGAAGAAGGUCUUCGGAUCGUAAAGCUCUGUUGUUGGUGAAGAAGGAUAGAGGCAGUAACUGGUCUUUAUUUGACGGUAAUCAACCAGAAAGUCACGGCUAACUACGUGCCAGCAGCCGCGGUAAUACGUAGGUGGCAAGCGUUGUCCGGAUUUAUUGGGCGUAAAGCGAGCGCAGGCGGAAUGAUAAGUCUGAUGUGAAAGCCCACGGCUCAACCGUGGAACUG
RNAcentral lists this ribosomal RNA (275 nucleotides) under uncultured bacterium. RNAcentral describes it as "partial 16S ribosomal RNA". It matches the Rfam family "Bacterial small subunit ribosomal RNA", at positions 356 to 623 of the family's 1533-position model. The record is from RNAcentral.